UUAAAAGCGCAGAUGGAAACUAGUAUCCCAACAAUGUAGUUAGAGAGUCAUUAUCUUAGCUGUAAUUAAUGACCUACACAAUGGGAGAAUUUCAUUUCCGGAGCCGAUAUGUAAUGAUAUUCCGGUCAAUCGCCGUUAUCGAUUUUAAGUGUGCAAUUUUAAUUGCAAACUAGGGUGGUACCGCGAAGCCUCGUCCCUAUU
RNAcentral lists this non-coding RNA (201 nucleotides) under Limosilactobacillus frumenti. RNAcentral's name for it is "Lactobacillus frumenti T-box sequence". It matches the Rfam family "T-box leader". Rfam says of the family: Uncharged tRNA acts as the effector for transcription antitermination of genes in the T-box leader family. The record is from RNAcentral. Lineage: Bacteria; Bacillati; Bacillota; Bacilli; Lactobacillales; Lactobacillaceae.